CCGACAAGAAUGAUGGGAAUGGCACUA
RNAcentral lists this non-coding RNA (27 nucleotides) under Rattus norvegicus (Norway rat). The record is from RNAcentral. Lineage: Eukaryota; Metazoa; Chordata; Mammalia; Rodentia; Muridae.